This 432-nucleotide ribosomal RNA is filed under the name uncultured bacterium. RNAcentral describes it as "partial 16S ribosomal RNA". It matches the Rfam family "Bacterial small subunit ribosomal RNA", at positions 29 to 507 of the family's 1533-position model. The record is from RNAcentral.
AACGAACGCUGGCGGCAUGCCUAACACAUGCAAGUCGAACGAGACCUUCGGGUCUAGUGGCGCACGGGUGCGUAACGCGUGGGAACCUGCCCUUAGGUUCGGAAUAACUCCCCGAAAGGGGUGCUAAUACCGGAUAAUGUCUUCGGACCAAAGAUUUAUCGCCUUUGGAUGGGCCUGCGUUGGAUUAGCUAGUUGGUAGGGUAAAAGCCUACCAAGGCGGCGAUCCAUAGCUGGUCUGAGAGGAUGAUCAGCCACACUGGGACUGGGACACGGCCCAGACCCUAGGGGGGGGGGGGAGGGGGGAAAAUAGGACAAGGGGCGAGAGCCGGAACCCCCAAGACCGGGAAGGUGAUGAAGGCGUUAGGAUUGGAAGUCUCUUUUCCCCGGGAUGUAAUGACGGGAACCGGGAAAAAAGCCCCGGCUAAACUCGUG